RNAcentral lists this ribosomal RNA (1027 nucleotides) under uncultured bacterium. RNAcentral describes it as "bacterial SSU rRNA". It matches the Rfam family "Bacterial small subunit ribosomal RNA", at positions 47 to 1062 of the family's 1533-position model. The record is from RNAcentral.
CUUAACACAUGCAAGUGGAGCGACGAAGGGCCUUCGGGCCUGGCAGAGCCGCGAACGGGUGAGUAACACGUGGGUAACCUGCCCCGAUGAUUGGGACAACCCGACGAAAGUCGGGCUAAUACCAAAUGUGCUUUCUACUCUCAAGAGUGGUCAGGAAAGGAAGCUUCGGCCUCCGCAUCGGGAUGGGCCCGCGGCGCAUUAGCUUGUUGGUGGGGUAACGGCCUACCAAGGCGACGAUGCGUAGCUGGUCUGAGAGGACGAUCAGCCACACUGGAACUGAGACACGGUCCAGACUCCUACGGGAGGCAGCAGUGGGGAAUCUUGCGCAAUGCGCGAAAGCGUGACGCAGCAACGCCGCGUGUGGGAAGACGGCCCUCGGGUUGUAAACCACUUUCAGUUGGGACGAAGGGUAGUCCGUUAAUAGCGGUUCUACUUGACGGUACCUUCACAAGAAGCCCCGGCUAACUACGUGCCAGCAGCCGCGGUAAUACGUAGGGGGCAAGCGUUGUCCGGAAUCAUUGGGCGUAAAGCGCGUGUAGGCGGGUCGGUAAGUCUGCUCUGAAAGUCCAAGGCUCAACCUUGGGAUGCGGGUGGAUACUGCCGACCUCGAGUCCGGAAGAGGCGAGUGGAAUUCCUGGUGUAGCGGUGAAAUGCGCAGAUAUCAGGAGGAACACCAAUGGCGAAGGCAGCUCGCUGGGACGUGACUGACGCUGAGACGCGAAAGCGUGGGGAGCAAACAGGAUUAGAUACCCUGGUAGUCCACGCCGUAAACGAUGGGCACUAGGUGUGGGAGGUGUCGACUCCUCCCGUGCCGAAGCUAACGCAUUAAGUGCCCCGCCUGGGGAGUACGGCCGCAAGGCUAAAACUCAAAGGAAUUGACGGGGGCCCGCACAAGCAGCGGAGCAUGUGGUUUAAUUCGACGCAACGCGAAGAACCUUACCUGGGUUUGACAUGUGCCUGACCGCCCUGGAAACAGGGCUUCUCUUCGGAGCAGGUUCACAGGUGGUGCAUGGCUGUCGUCAGCUCG